Molecule: non-coding RNA, 87 nt
Organism: Blastomyces dermatitidis ER-3
Lineage: Eukaryota; Fungi; Ascomycota; Eurotiomycetes; Onygenales; Ajellomycetaceae
Source: Rfam
GGUUUCAUGGUCUAGUGGUUAUGACAUCGGAUUUUGACGACCAUAUCAAAACUUCCGAUAACCUGGGUUCGAAUCCCAGUGAGACCU